CAAGCGUAACGUGUCAGAGCAGGGAAUGCGGAGUAUUUUUUUUUAACUGAGUUCUUGGUGGAUCUUAUCGAUUAUAAGACCAAUUGCAGGUGGCAAUGGAGUGCAGGGGUGGUAACCUGUCGACUUGGGGUGGGCACCCUGGCCUGCACUUUCCUCUUGGAUGGGUAAUGCCAAGUCCACCCAUUCUCAUUCUACCUGCACAGUAACUCCAGAACACUUCCGAUGACGAACGUACGUGCGUGACAGUGCUGAGUUACUAGCAUGUCCAUGUAGACACACCAUGACAUUUACUUGCCUGAAGAGGGGCCACUAUAAAUUGCUAAACAAUCUU
Long non-coding RNA from Phyllopteryx taeniolatus (common seadragon), 331 nucleotides. RefSeq lists it as uncharacterized. The record is from RefSeq and is a predicted model, not a curated record. The transcript is spliced from 2 exons. NCBI's taxonomy places the organism in Eukaryota, Metazoa, Chordata, Actinopteri, Syngnathiformes, Syngnathidae.